Molecule: long non-coding RNA, 208 nt
Filed under: Nicotiana benthamiana
Lineage: Eukaryota; Viridiplantae; Streptophyta; Magnoliopsida; Solanales; Solanaceae
Description: long non-coding RNA (NBEN_LNC000267)
Source: RNAcentral
UUGAUCUGAUUUUUUGGUUUCUUCCUUGUGCAAUAUAUUUAUAUUGUUAAAGAGUAAAUCAGUAGAACGUACCUUCCAAGAAGCAGGUAUCUAUAAGAGAGUUUAUACUAUUUACGCUAUGUAAAUAAUUUUUGCACUAUCAUUGUUUUGUUUUAAUUAUGUCUGACAUUAUGAAAAGAAAGUUCGUUGCCCUUGAAAUUUUGGGCAA